Molecule: ribosomal RNA, 373 nt
Filed under: uncultured bacterium
Lineage: Bacteria
Description: bacterial SSU rRNA
Rfam family: Bacterial small subunit ribosomal RNA
Source: RNAcentral
GUAGUCCACGCCGUAAACGAUGAUAGCUCGAUGUCGGCGAUAUACCGUCGGUGUCUAAGGGAAACCGAUAAGCUAUCCACCUGGGGAGUACGUUCGCAAGAAUGAAACUCAAAGGAAUUGACGGGGGCCCGCACAAGCGGAGGAACAUGUGGUUUAAUUCGAUGAUACGCGAGGAACCUUACCCGGGCUUGAAAGUUAGCGACUGACUCUGAAAGGAGUCUUCUCUUCGGAGCGCGAAACUAGGUGCUGCAUGGUUGUCGUCAGCUCGUGCCGUGAGGUGUCGGAUUAAGUUCCAUAACGAGCGCAACCCCUAUCGAUAGUUGCCAGCAUGUAAUGAUGGGGACUCUAUCGAGACUGCCGGUGUAAACCGCGA